This is a microRNA precursor of Sorex araneus (European shrew), 89 nucleotides long. The record is from Ensembl. Lineage: Eukaryota; Metazoa; Chordata; Mammalia; Eulipotyphla; Soricidae.
AAGUCUACGGCCAUACCACCCUGAACGCGCCCGAUCUCGUCUGAUCUCGGAAGCUAAGCAGGGUCGGGCCUGGUUAGUACUUGGAUGGG